Triticum aestivum (bread wheat) is the source of this 135-nucleotide non-coding RNA. The record is from Rfam. Lineage: Eukaryota; Viridiplantae; Streptophyta; Magnoliopsida; Poales; Poaceae.
CAAAUACUCCCUCCGUCCGGAAAUACUUGUCAUCAAAAUGGAUAAAAGGAAAUGUAUCUAGACGUAUUUUAGUUUUAGAUACAUUUCUUUUUGUCCAUUUUGAUGACAAGUAUUUUCAGAUGAAGGGAGUAUUUA